GAUGAACGCUGGCGGCGUGCCUAAUACAUGCAAGUCGAGCGAACAGACGAGGAGCUUGCUCCUCUGACGUUAGCGGCGGACGGGUGAGUAACACGUGGAUAACCUACCUAUAAGACUGGGAUAACUUCGGGAAACCGGAGCUAAUACCGGAUAACAUGUUGAACCGCAUGGUUCAACAGUGAAAGACGGUUUUGCUGUCACUUAUAGAUGGAUCCGCGCCGCAUUAGCUAGUUGGUAAGGUAACGGCUUACCAAGGCAACGAUGCGUAGCAGACCUGAGAGGGUGAUCGGCCACACUGGAACUGAGACACGGUCCAGACUCCUACGGGAGGCAGCAGUAGGGAAUCUUCCGCAAUGGGCGAAAGCCUGACGGAGCAACGCCGCGUGAGUGAAGAAGGUCUUCGGAUCGUAAAACUCUGUUAUUAGGGAAGAACAAAUGUGUAAGUAACUAUGCACGUCUUGACGGUACCUAAUCAGAAAGCCACGGCUAACUACGUG
RNAcentral lists this ribosomal RNA (497 nucleotides) under uncultured bacterium. RNAcentral's name for it is "partial 16S ribosomal RNA". It matches the Rfam family "Bacterial small subunit ribosomal RNA", at positions 28 to 507 of the family's 1533-position model. The record is from RNAcentral.